RNAcentral lists this ribosomal RNA (250 nucleotides) under uncultured bacterium. Its description in RNAcentral is "partial 16S ribosomal RNA". It matches the Rfam family "Bacterial small subunit ribosomal RNA", at positions 524 to 773 of the family's 1533-position model. RNAcentral also lists the same sequence under 1 other name. The record is from RNAcentral.
UACAGAGGGUGCAAGCGUUAAUCGGAAUUACUGGGCGUAAAGCGCGCGUAGGCGGUUGUGUAAGUUGGAUGUGAAAGCCCCGGGCUUAACCUGGGAAUGGCAUUCAAAACUGCACGGCUAGAGUAUUGGAGAGGAAGGUAGAAUUCCAGGUGUAGCGGUGAAAUGCGUAGAGAUCUGGAGGAAUACCGAUGGCGAAGGCAGCCUUCUGGCCAAAUACUGACGCUGAGGUGCGAAAGCAUGGGGAGCAAAC